This is a long non-coding RNA of Equus caballus (horse), 2464 nucleotides long. RefSeq lists it as uncharacterized. Lineage: Eukaryota; Metazoa; Chordata; Mammalia; Perissodactyla; Equidae. The record is from RefSeq and is a predicted model, not a curated record.
ACGGGAGUUAAUUGUGAAAACUGAAACUCAUCAAGUUUGACCAGGACAAUACCACUCUUGAGAAAAUCAAGAGCCACAUAAUUCUUUAAAUCCCCCUGUUUUUCUGUGUCUCAUGAUCAGUUUGUGACUAGCCCUUCCUUUCUAGGAAAGCAAACAAUGUACAACUACUUUUUGUGCCGCUCUCCAUCCAGCACUUCUAGGGACUAUGAGGGUGACAGAAGGAAUAUGUGAUGUGAUCUCCAGCCGUGAAGAUUUGGCUGCAAGAACAGCACUGGCAAAGCAUGAACUAACUCGAAAACAGAUGGGGCAGAUAAUCAUGCCAGCUAAAAGGCUGGCAUGCUCCAUGAUUGGCAGGUUAUGAAGGUCAAGGAUUCUUGGGUAUGGAUUUGACAAUCACCUGGUCCAUAGCAGGCACUUGCAAAAUGUCGGCUGAAUCCAUGGCAAAUGGAAGACAAGGAACCAAGUUUCACUGCUCUGAUCUGGAGAUGUUUCUACAACCACACACUUCUUCCCUGAUGGAAUUUAAUAUCAGAAAUAAUUGGAGGCUGGGGUAGCAGUAGGCCCUUAGUGAAUACUGAGCUGAGCAGGCUAGUCUGGGCAGAGCAGAGCUCUGAGGAGGUAAGAGAGGAAGCAUCUUCCUUCAGUCUCCAGGGGGUUGUUACAAGGUGAGACACCUUAGCAGGAGCUACAGCCGUUAGAUUGCUGGAGAGAGGGUGUUUGGGCAAUAGAGUCAGAAAGACGUCACUAAGCUUCUGGCAUAGGGGAGGGAAAGACAGAGAAGAUUCUAAGAGGUAGGAGAAACUCAGAAAGGAGAUGCAAGGAGGCCCACUUUGACAUUCAGUUGCUGGUCUGCCUUUUCCCCACUCCUUCACCCCGAAGACUAAACCAGGAGGUUUUGAUCUCUCGUCCUUCAUUAGGUCAGUGCAUUUUGCCAUUAGGCACCUAACAGAUCCUGCCCACUCAGAGAUUAAAAGUGAGGUGUGAGAAUGUGGGUGCUGGCUGCAUAGCACAGUAGCUGCAUGGGCUCUGGGGUCUGAACAUUAGGAUCUUUUGGCCUCAGUUUCCUUAUCUGUAAAAUGGAAAUAAUAAUAGUACCCACUUCAUGAAGUUGUUUGGAGAUUUAACGGAUGAUGUUUGUAAAGAGUUUAUCACAGUGUCUGACACAAGAUAAGUACUGAAAAGAGAUUAGCCUUGAUUAUUUUGAGCAGCUGGGGAGGUGGGAAAGUCAUGGAACUAAUAAUUGGUGGUUCCAAAGAUGCCUCUAACUCUCAUUAACUAUUUUAAAGUAAUUGGCCACUUGAUGGCUCUUAAGAAACUUCCUUUCUGUCCAUCUCUGCUCAUCACAGGUGUGAGCCUUAUUGUGACUUGUAUGGACACUUGGGGCAGUGUACAAGGGAAGUCCCUGGCAACGAGUAAGCAUGUGGGGCCAACAAGGGGCUGCUUGGGGAGCCAUGGGGUGGCCACCCACGAAAGCAAGAACCAGCAGAUUGAGGGAAUGCUUAGAAAUUUGUCUGAAUACUCAUUUAGGAAAAAUACCAGACUAACUAAAAUUAGGAGGGAAAGAAGACAUACGGUCAUUUCUUCAGAUGCAGCCUAACAAGAGCAUCAACCCUAAUUUUGAUGGAGGAAUGUCUGAGGCGUUGAAAUUCAAAGGAGGUUGUAUUUCUUCCAGCCAGCCUAUUUAUUGUGGGCAUAAUGUAACAAAGUAAACAAAGUGAUAGAAAAAGCAGGCAACUCUUAAUAAUUCUUAAUAACCCAAAGACUCUUUAUUCAAAAGAAAAAAAUAUGGCAUUUGAUUUCACCAAAAAAAUUUCUGAUUGAAACAUUUACUAUUAGCAUUUUCACUGAUAUAUUUCCCCAAUUAUUAUAAUAACCUUAGUAUUUCUCAUUAGACACUAAACCCAAAAAGACCAGCAGAGAGCAUGUAUAAUAGAGUGUGAAAUGGUAUUUAAGUUAUACCUAAAAAUAAAUUAAAGCAGAGCUAAAAAUUCAUAUGUUCUUCAAAAAUAAAAAAUAUUAUUUCAACUUCUAGAAAUCUAGCAUAAGCCAAUUGGCAGCAAUUAAGCCAAUGAAUUAUGUACAAAGAUUUUUAUUACAGAAUUAUUGUAAUGGCAGAAACUGAAAACAAAAUGCAUGUCCAACAACAGGAGACCUGUUAAAUCUAUAUGAUGGAAUAUUAUGCAGUUAUUAUAAAUGAUACACAUUAAUAAUUUUGAAGAUAUAGGGAAAAUGCUCGAGAUAUAAUAUUAAAUAAGUAAAGAUACAGAACUGCAAAAGAAGUGUGAUGUCAAAUGUACAUAGUAAUAAGACUAGCAGGAAAGUACUAAAAUGUUAACAAUGGUUAUCUUUGGGUGGUAACAUUACGGGUAAUUUUUAUUUUCUUCACUAUUGUAAUAUUUUCUAAUUUUAUAAACUUAUGUGCAUGUAAUACUUUUAUAAUUGUCUUAAAAAACAUAAUAAAAUU